AGGCGGGACUUUAAGUCAGUGGUGAAAGCCUCCAGCUUAACUGGAGAAUUGCCAUUGAAACUGAAGUUCUUGAGUAUGGAUGAGGUGGUUGGAAUAUAACAUGUAGCGGUGAAAUGCAUAGAUAUUACAUAGAAUACCAAUUGCGAAGGCAGAUUACUAAUAAUCAACUGACACUGAUGGACGAAAGCGUGGGUAGCGAACAGGAUUAGAUACCCUGGUAGUCCACGCCGUAAACGAUCAUCACUCGCUGUUGGCGAUAUACUGUCAGCGGCCAAGCGAAAGUAUUAAGUGAUGCACCUGGGGAGUACGCCGGCAACGGUGAAACUCAAAGGAAUUGACGGGGGCCCGCACAAGCGGUGGAGCAUGUGGUUUAAUUCGAUGAUACGCGAGGAACCUUACCAGGGCUUAAAUGUAGUAUGACCGGUCUGGAAACAGGCCUUCCCUUCGGGGCAGAUUACAAGGUGCUGCAUGGUU
Molecule: ribosomal RNA, 474 nt
Filed under: uncultured Flavobacteriia bacterium
Lineage: Bacteria; Pseudomonadati; Bacteroidota; Flavobacteriia
Description: bacterial SSU rRNA
Rfam family: Bacterial small subunit ribosomal RNA
Source: RNAcentral